This 446-nucleotide long non-coding RNA is filed under the name Phaseolus vulgaris (common bean). RNAcentral describes it as "long non-coding RNA (PVUL_LNC003748)". Lineage: Eukaryota; Viridiplantae; Streptophyta; Magnoliopsida; Fabales; Fabaceae. The record is from RNAcentral.
UCUUUCAUUUUAGAGAUACAUGAAGAGAAGGUUCACUUCACACUCAACAAUCAUAAUUUGGUAAUCAUUUUUCCUUUAGAGGAGUGAAUAAAACCCUCAUUUUUUUAAAGGUAGAGUGAUUGAUCAUUCAUAAACUUACUCUCUGGCUUAACUGAAAGUUCGGUCUUUGGUAACUUCGAAAGUUCCCUCAGCUGACUUUUCUUUUUCAUAUUCGUGUCUUGACCCCCUAGUUUGCAUACACUCGAUUAAGAAUAAUUGAUUUUGUAUUAGGUUGGUCGGAUUUUGUUUUGUGUUUGGAGCAAUGCUUGGUUAAGAGGGUUGCUCUUUUGUGUUGUUUUUCUGCGUGAGAGGUGAUUUAGGUGAUUUUGUGUUGGAAUUUAGGGUUUAGGGUUAUUCUUUCUUUUUAAGUUAAUUAGCAAUUUAUUAAUGUGUGUGUUAUAGAUAUA